RNAcentral lists this transfer RNA (68 nucleotides) under Thyestilla gebleri. RNAcentral's name for it is "tRNA-Ser". Lineage: Eukaryota; Metazoa; Arthropoda; Insecta; Coleoptera; Cerambycidae. The record is from RNAcentral. RNAcentral also lists the same sequence under 2 other names.
AGUUAAUGAACUUGUAAAAGUAUAUAUUUUGAAAAUAUAAAAAAGAAAUAAAAAUUUUCUAUUAACUU